RNAcentral lists this long non-coding RNA (1628 nucleotides) under Sus scrofa (pig). Its description in RNAcentral is "lncRNA (ENSSSCG00000054183.1)". Lineage: Eukaryota; Metazoa; Chordata; Mammalia; Artiodactyla; Suidae. The record is from RNAcentral.
AUACGGGAUGAUAAAGGAACCUUUUCUAAAAGGCAUUGCGGGGUCUAGAUUGAGAGGACUUCCAGUUACAGAAGCCUUGCUCUGCGCUCAACACUGGGGAUGCUCAUUUUUCUUGUUUUGUGAAUUCUCCCAUCUUGCUGUGAGCUCAUUUCACGGCUGUGGGAGGUUGGAGAGAGCAGGUUUAUGAUUCUGAAGAUCAGAGGACACCGGACUUUAAGGGGGGAUUGAAUUGGAAUUUGGGGACUACGGAAAAGCAACCUUCAGGUGCCAGUUCUGUCCUAAAACCGUCUUGGACAACAGGACUAGAUCCUAAAGCUCCUUCAGGGAGCUCUGCCCUGGAACGGAACAGUUGAUGUAAUAACCACGUUGUAUAGAGACUAACUCCAGGGGGUUGUUUGGGUUUGGUUUGGUUUUAAGGCAGUUUGUGUGAGAGUUUCAACUGCAUCCACCUUGGGAACAGAUAUACCCCUUUCUUUAGCACUGCUGUUCUUUUUUGUCUUCACAAACAGGGUGUUCAGUGAGCCACAGGCAAGAAGAGCCAUUUUAGUCUUCACAGCUGGGGGCCCGGAGACAUCGUGAGUUGAUGAUCUAUUUUAACCUCAAACGUAAAAAUGUAUACUUUCUCACAACAGGGACGUCGAACAGUAAAAUGAGUAACAGCAAAGUCUUUAUUGACUGCCUUCUGCCUUUUUGUGGUAAUGUGCUAACAUGACAAGGUGUGUUCAUAUUUUACUCAGCCAGAGUCUAGUUCAUCUGCUAAGCAUUGGGAGUAUUAUGUAGGUUGAUCUUAAACAUAAAUCGGUCUCUGAGGGUGCCCUCUAUUUGGAUUGUGACUUGUAGACUCAAGCUGACUUCACUGCCUCUUUUUCACACUUGUUGAAAAGUCUAUGAAGGGCAUAGCAAGGAUCUCCACCUUUGGAAAAGGCACAUGAUGUGAAACUGGGGUGCUGUGUUAAAAAUAAAUGUAUAACUUAAAAGAAUAGGCAGUAAGUAAAAUAAUAUUGGAAGUGAUGUGGUAACAUGAGGAGAAAGGGUGGCUGGCAGAUUCAAGCCAAUAGGCAGCCUCCUGCCCUAGUCAGGCCUUGGGAGAUGCUAACAGUUUUUCAUUCUCCAAUUCUCAUUUUUUGUUUCUCUUCUCACUGAGUGAAAUCAUCUCUCAGUACAUUACCUUAGUUUAACUUGCUGAUGCUUCUCAGAGUCUAAUUUAUCUUGCUAUUUUAUGCCAAUAUUGAUCUCUGCUCUUCGAUUUUUCAUUUUAUUAUUUAACCGUAUGGAAUUUUAUAAAUUUCAAAAGUGGAAUAUACUUGUUGUACCAAGGAAAACAGUACGGAACUCCGAUUCAACCCCUAGCCUGGGAACCUCCAUAUGCCGCGGGUGUGGCCCUCAAAAGACAAAAAAAAAAAAAAAAAAAAAAAAAAAUCCAACUGCAGCAGCUGGGGUUGCUGCAGAGGCGAAAGUUCAAUCCCCAGCCUGGCUCAGUGGGUUAAGGAUCCAGUGUUGCCGCAGCUGUGGUGUAGGUCGCAGACUCGGCUUGGAUCUGGCGUUGCUGUGGCUGUGGUGUAGACCAGCAGCUGUAGCUCCAUUUGGACCCCUAGCCUGGGAACCUCCAUAUGCUGCGGGUGUGGUCC